Molecule: ribosomal RNA, 324 nt
Filed under: uncultured Bacillota bacterium
Lineage: Bacteria; Bacillati; Bacillota
Description: bacterial SSU rRNA
Rfam family: Bacterial small subunit ribosomal RNA
Source: RNAcentral
GACGAACGCUGGCGGCGUGCUUAACACAUGCAAGUCGAGCGAUGAAGUUCCUUCGGGAAUGGAUUAGCGGCGGACGGGUGAGUAACACGUGGGUAACCUGCCUCAUAGAGGGGAAUAGCCUUCCGAAAGGAAGAUUAAUACCGCAUAAGAUUGUAGUGCCGCAUGGUAUAGCAAUUAAAGGAGCAAUCCGCUAUGAGAUGGACCCGCGUCGCAUUAGCUAGUUGGUGAGGUAACGGCUCACCAAGGCGACGAUGCGUAGCCGACCUGAGAGGGUGAUCGGCCACAUUGGGACUGAGACACGGCCCAGACUCCUACGGGUGGCAG